AAACCAGCCCUAACACGCCAGAGCCCCAUCUCUCAGGAGGGCCCAGAAGCUGGACAACUUAAGCCACUCCUUGGCCUCCCCAGCCAGGGGCCUGGGCAGGAAAGAUGGGGUGGUG
Molecule: small RNA, 115 nt
Filed under: Pongo abelii (Sumatran orangutan)
Lineage: Eukaryota; Metazoa; Chordata; Mammalia; Primates; Hominidae
Description: processed transcript
Source: RNAcentral